This 490-nucleotide long non-coding RNA is filed under the name Ictidomys tridecemlineatus (thirteen-lined ground squirrel). RNAcentral's name for it is "lncRNA (ENSSTOG00000030083.1)". Lineage: Eukaryota; Metazoa; Chordata; Mammalia; Rodentia; Sciuridae. The record is from RNAcentral.
UGUUUCUAUACAUUAUGUUACUAUAGACUUAAUGUGAGUACCUGACCUUCAUUUUACAGGUAAAGGAAAGUGAAUAUCAGAAAAGAUAACAAAUGCACCCAGGACUGUACAACCGGCAGAGGCAACGUCAUGGAUAAAAGAGGUACAGUGUUAGUGAGCUGUGCUCUCACAUGGAUACGACAGUGAAGUUCCAUCCCAACUCAGUUGGAAGGGAGAAGGAUUCUGAGGCUUCACCUGGGGCCAGGCAGAAAGUGUGCCAUAAUCAGCUGACAAUGUCUGGCUUUGGAUGGAAGAGAGUGACUUGCUUUCUAGAGGCAACAUGUCCAGCUGUAAAAUCCAUAACCAUAGACUCCAUUUGGAAAAGAAGGAAUUCUGCCAGAGCUGCUCCUCUCCCAGCACAGGUACUGUCCCCACGCCCCACUACCCACAUAUACCUUACUGAAAUGUGGAAGUAAUGCCUGCAGGUGCAGCAGCCAGGUAAAGGCCAUGA